Non-coding RNA from Methanobrevibacter millerae, 73 nucleotides. NCBI's taxonomy places the organism in Archaea, Methanobacteriati, Methanobacteriota, Methanobacteria, Methanobacteriales, Methanobacteriaceae. The record is from Rfam.
GCUACUGUAACACAAUUGGCAGUGUGCCGCCCUCGUAAGGCGGAGGUUGCGGGUUCAAGUCCCGUCAGUAGCU